CUGGGAGGGUCUCGCUCAUCUGUUGCUCUUCAAAGAAAAGUGUUAGUUGCUUCCGAAAAAAAAAAAAUUGGGAAGAAGCAGAGCCCCAGCAGUGACACGGGGACCCUGGGCAGAUGGAGCAGUGCCCACAGGACUGUGUUGUGCUGGCAGGGAUGGAUGCAGGUGGGAGCGGCUGUGGUUGGACUGCACAGCACUCAUUGCUGGAGGUCUUGCUGAAGAACCUCAUGGAAAAUUCUGUGUUGCCUGCCUGGAAUUCCCUGCCUGGUGCCAACACGGUGUAUAUUUAAGCGAGUGUCACACCCGACCAUCGAGGGCUGCAUCGCCAGCACCGUCUGCAGCCCAGAGAGCCCAGGGCAAAUGCUUGGCCAGAGGAAAUGCAGCAAGAGCUGAUUUACACCUACUGGGAUGGACCACCACUGACCUCCAUCGCCGAUUCCCGCUGCCACGGGGAAAAUCACUCCGCUGCUCUUCCUCCCUUUGCUCAUUUGGAAGACGGGGUAAUAAUCCCCGUCACCUAUUUGCGAGGCUGUUGUGAAUUUUCAUGAGCUCCCAUCUGAACGGGGCUUUGAGCAGGAAAACUGCUGUAUCAGCUCUAGGCAAUGAUAAACAAUACUCAGCAUUUACAUAUUCAAAGCACUUUGAUUAACUCUUGGGGUUUAAGGACUUGAGUCGAUUCCCACCCGACCGUAAUGGCAGCUGGAC
This 702-nucleotide long non-coding RNA is filed under the name Chloebia gouldiae (Gouldian finch). RNAcentral's name for it is "Erythrura gouldiae (Gouldian finch) lncRNA (ENSEGOG00005013886.1)". Lineage: Eukaryota; Metazoa; Chordata; Aves; Passeriformes; Passeridae. The record is from RNAcentral.